UAGGGAAUCUUCGGCAAUGGACGAAAGUCUGACCGAGCAACGCCGCGUGAGUGAAGAAGGUUUUCGGAUCGUAAAACUCUGUUGUUAGAGAAGAACAAGGACGUUAGUAACUGAACGUCCCCUGACGGUAUCUAACCAGAAAGCCACGGCUAACUACGUGCCAGCAGCCGCGGUAAUACGUAGGUGGCAAGCGUUGUCCGGAUUUAUUGGGCGUAAAGCGAGCGCAGGCGGUUUCUUAAGUCUGAUGUGAAAGCCCCCGGCUCAACCGGGGAGGGUCAUUGGAAACUGGGAGACUUGAGUGCAGAAGAGGGGAGUGGAAUUCCAGUUGUAGCGGUGAAAUGCGUAGAUAUAUGGAGGAACACCAGUGGCGAAGGCGGCUCGCAGGUCUGUAACUGACGCUGAGGCUCGAAAGCGUGGGGAGCAAACAGG
Molecule: ribosomal RNA, 429 nt
Filed under: Gemmatimonadota bacterium
Lineage: Bacteria; Pseudomonadati; Gemmatimonadota
Description: Gemmatimonadetes bacterium partial 16S ribosomal RNA
Rfam family: Bacterial small subunit ribosomal RNA
Source: RNAcentral